RNAcentral lists this ribosomal RNA (508 nucleotides) under uncultured bacterium. RNAcentral's name for it is "partial 16S ribosomal RNA". It matches the Rfam family "Bacterial small subunit ribosomal RNA", at positions 38 to 507 of the family's 1533-position model. The record is from RNAcentral.
GAGGAAAGAGGGAGGCGUGCCUAACACAUGCAAGUCGAACGGAGAGAUACGAGAGCUUGCUCUCGUAAAUCUUAGUGGCAAACGGGUGUGUAACGCGUAAACAACCUGCCCAACGGAUGGGGACAACAGACGGAAACGACUGCUAAUACCCAAUAGACUCCGACUUCGCGUGAAACUGAUAGGAGAGGGUGCUGCUCGAAGAAGCUACCGCCUCAGGGGGGGUUUGCGUAGGAGUAGUUAGAUGGGGGUGUAACGGCCUCACAAGACGAAGGUCAAGAGCCGGUCUGAGAGGAUGAAUCGCCACCACGGAACUGAGACAAGGUCCAGAACCCUAACGGAGGCAGCCGUGGGGAAUCCUCCGGCAAGGACGAAAGUCCGGCGGGGCAACGCCGCGUGAGUGAAGAAGGCCCUCGGGUUGUAAAGAUCUGUUAUUCGGGAAGAACGAUUCGUGUGUAAAUAAUGAACGGACGUGACGGUACCGAAAGAGAAAGCCACGGCUAACUACGUG